ACCAGUUGAUCCUGCUGGAGGGCACUGCUAUCGGAUUACGAUUAAGCCAUGCAAGUCUUAAGAUACGACACGUAUCUUGGCGAACGGCUCAGUAAUACGUAGUCAACCUACCCUGAAGAGAGGCAUAACCUCGGGAAACUGUGGUGAAUAUCUCAUGGGUCGCCGAGGCUGGAAUGCACGGCGAUUUAAAGGAGCGCGAAAUGGAGCGCCACCGCUUCAGGAUGGGACUGCGGCUGAUUAUGGUAGUUGGCGGGGUAAAGGCCCACCAAGCCGAUUAUCAGUACGGGCUAUGAGAGUAGCAGCCCGGAGACGGGUACUGAGACAAGGACCCGAGCCCUACGGGGUGCAGCAGGCGCGAAAUUUCCGCAAUGCGCGAAAGCGUGACGGGGGUAAUCCGAGUGAUAGUCUAACGACUAUCUUUUGACCAGUCUGAACCACUGGUAGAAUAAGUGGUGGGUAAAUCCUGUGCCAGCCGCCGCGGUAAUACAGGUAGCACAAGUGGUGUCCACGAAUAUUGAGUCUAAAGCGCCCGUAGCUGGCCUUGCCAGUCUUCUGUGAAAUCUCACGGCUUAACCGUGAGGCGUGCAGAAGAUACUACAAGGCUUGGGAGUGGGGGAGGUCAGAGGUACUAUAGGGGGAGGAGUAAAAUCCUGUAAUCCUUGUAGGACCCUCGGUGGCGAAGGCGUCUGACCAAAACACAUCCGACAGUGAGGGACGAAGGCUAGGGGAGCGAACCGGAUUAGAUACCCGGGUAGUCCUAUGCAGUAAAUCAUGCAAACUAGGCGUUGCAGUCCUUUAACGGGGCUGCAGUGCCGUAGGGAAGCCGUUUAGUUUGCCACUUGGGGAGUACGGUCGCAAGACUGAAACUUAAAGGAAUUGGCGGGGGAGCACCACAAGGGGUGGAUGCUGCGGUUCAAUUGGACUCAACGCCGGAAAACUCACCAGAAGAGACGGCAGGAUGAAGCUCAGGCCAAAGACCUUAGCUAACGAGCCGAGAGGUGUUGCAUGGCCAGCGUCAGUUCGUGCCGUGAGGUGUCAGGUUAAGUCCUGCAACGAACGAGAUCUCCGUCGACAGUUGCUACCAUUAUGGAAACAAAGUGGGCACUCUGUCGAGACUGCCCGCGUCAAGUGGGAGGAAGGAGGAGGCGACGCUAGGUCUGUAUGGCCCGAAUCUUCUGGGCCACACGUGGCAUACAAUGGCACAGACAAUGAGUUCCGACGCCGAAAGGCGAAGGCAAUCCCCUAAACUGUGCCUAAGUUCGGAUCGGGGGCUGAAACUCGUCCCCGUGAAGCUGGAAUCCCUAGUAAUCGCGUGUCAUUAUCGCGCGGUGAAUAUGUCCCCGCUCCUUGCACACACCGCCCGUCAAGCCAUCCAAGCUUGGUUUUAGUGAGGCACCGUCAGUGAUGAUGGUGUCGAGCUAGAGCUAGGUAAGGAGGGUUAAGUCGUAACAAGGUA
RNAcentral lists this ribosomal RNA (1456 nucleotides) under metagenome. RNAcentral describes it as "bacterial SSU rRNA". It matches the Rfam family "Archaeal small subunit ribosomal RNA". The record is from RNAcentral.